UUUUUUUCCCCCAUAUUUUUGUGCUUUGUCUUAAAGAUUUUUAUAGAUAUUUAGAAACUUAUAUAACCAAAAAUGAUCAGUAAAACAAGAUCUACAUAUAAGUGAAAUGGAUUGUUGAAGAUAUGAAUUAACCUAGUUACAUCACACAGGCCCUUUAAAGACUCUUGUUUGAUGCAUCAAUAGAUCAAAUGAUAGUACCCCACUUGCUUCAAAUGAACAACACUACACAUUGUAAUGG
This 238-nucleotide long non-coding RNA is filed under the name Mytilus galloprovincialis (Mediterranean mussel). Lineage: Eukaryota; Metazoa; Mollusca; Bivalvia; Mytilida; Mytilidae. The record is from RNAcentral.